Molecule: long non-coding RNA, 438 nt
Organism: Gracilinanus agilis (Agile Gracile Mouse Opossum)
Lineage: Eukaryota; Metazoa; Chordata; Mammalia; Didelphimorphia; Didelphidae
Exons: 2
Source: RefSeq, a predicted model, not a curated record
GUCACUUAAACUUAAAGCCGGCGAAGGUGAAGCACAUCUCCACUUCCUUAAGAGGGAGCCAAACCCUGAAGAAAGCAGGAGCCCCUCUCUCUCUCUUUUCUGGGCUCUCUUUCUCGUCUUUAUGGUUGAGAUAAAGCCAUCCUAUGGGUAAGACGCCUCUGCGGGAAUGGCCAACCCAAAGACCACUCUAGAGUCACGUGGAUAGCGUCUGUUCAAUUACUGGUUGCCUUAGAUGAAGGCCGUCCCUCUGCUCCUGCCUCCUCCUUUAACAUGCGACCCGCGCGAGCCGUCGCUCCUUUCCGUCCAGCACUUUCUCUGGGUCUCGGGCGUGUUCGGGCGGCGUGAGAGCCGUUCUUGGCGCAUGCGCGCCCCACGACCUCCACCGUCCUUCCCCCUGCCCUUGUAAAAGCUGCUAAUAAAAAGGUUUCUACGGUCACA